Molecule: ribosomal RNA, 119 nt
Filed under: Gossypium arboreum
Lineage: Eukaryota; Viridiplantae; Streptophyta; Magnoliopsida; Malvales; Malvaceae
Source: RNAcentral
GGGUGCGAUCAUACCAGCACUAAUGCGCCGGAUCCCAUCAGAACUCCGCAGUUAUGCGUGCUUGGGCGAGAGUAGUACUAGGAUGGGUGACUUGGUGAGAAGUACUCUUGUUGCGCCCC